Long non-coding RNA from Capsicum annuum, 727 nucleotides. RefSeq lists it as uncharacterized. The record is from RefSeq and is a predicted model, not a curated record. The transcript has 3 exons. NCBI's taxonomy places the organism in Eukaryota, Viridiplantae, Streptophyta, Magnoliopsida, Solanales, Solanaceae.
GUAGAGCUGUGUAUGUUUGGGUAGGAAGGUCUUUUAGUUGUCAUUUUAGCAAGGUUCGGCAAGUAGACUGCAAAGGACCUGGUGAUCCAGGGGAGAUUGACUGGAAUCAGGCUGCUUCAGAUGUUUUUCAUCAAAUGGUUCUGCCAAUCGACAGUAACAUUAAGGUUGUGAAAGAAAAUGAAGAACCUGCUGAACUCCUAGCAUUAUUGAGUUCCCGGUUAAGCUAAAAUGAUCGAGGAUGCAUCAGGAAUCCCAGUAGAUUGUGUUCUCUUUCGUACAUUUUAGCUUCCAAAAUUUUACUGGCUUUUGAGUGAAGUCCACCUGACUAUAAUAUGGAGGGUUGUGCCUAAAUGGAGUGAAUUGAGACUCAUAUUCGAAUUCCACCGGAGGCAAAAGCACUAGGUGUUUCUUCCAGUCUGUCCAAGGCUUAGGGGACAGGUUUCGGGUACCUGUGCUAGUAGGAGAUAGUAGGUACCCAUUUGAAUUUGUCAAGGUGCGAGCAAACUGGUUUGGAUACCACAGUUGUUGAAAAAAGAUGAGAAAAUUCUCUAGAUUUAGAUUGAGAUGUUAUCUAUAUAUCAUUCAGUAUGUUUUAAUAUGUAAAGCAUAGUCUUUAAGAAUUUCUUUAUAUGAUAUCAGAGUGAGACUCGAUUCCCAUUUCUUGAUUUACCUAUAUUGAGCUCCCAUGUUAUUUACUAUGCUUCAGAUGCCUAGUUUUGGGUGUGGG